AAAAUUUUUAGUUAUUUAAACUUUAAACCUUCAAAGUUUAAUAUAUAUAUAUUA
RNAcentral lists this transfer RNA (54 nucleotides) under Dolichoris vasculosae. RNAcentral describes it as "tRNA-Trp". The record is from RNAcentral. Lineage: Eukaryota; Metazoa; Arthropoda; Insecta; Hymenoptera; Agaonidae.